This 138-nucleotide ribosomal RNA is filed under the name Acidimicrobiales bacterium. Its description in RNAcentral is "partial 23S ribosomal RNA". It matches the Rfam family "Bacterial large subunit ribosomal RNA", at positions 1 to 138 of the family's 2925-position model. Lineage: Bacteria; Bacillati; Actinomycetota; Acidimicrobiia; Acidimicrobiales. The record is from RNAcentral.
GAUCAAGCUACUAAGGGCACGAGGUGAAUGCCUUGGCUCCAGAAGUCGAUGAAGGACGUAGUAAGUUGCGAUAAGCCACGAGAAGCGACAAACACGCGCUGAUCCGUGGAUUUCCGAAUGGGGAAACCCGGCCAAUUA